Molecule: non-coding RNA, 453 nt
Organism: Budorcas taxicolor (takin)
Lineage: Eukaryota; Metazoa; Chordata; Mammalia; Artiodactyla; Bovidae
Source: the annotation of a RefSeq genome assembly
AUGGCCUGGACUCCUCUCCUGUUGGUGCUCCUCUCUCUCUGCACAGGUUCCCUCUCCCAGCCUCUGCUGACUCAGCCAGCCUCCCUCUCUGUGUCUCCGGGAGCAUCAGCCAGACUCUCCUGCACCCUGAGCAGUGGCUACAAUGUUGGCAACUAUAGCAUAUACUGGUAUCAGCAGAAGGCAGGGAGCCCUCCCCGGUACCUCCUGAGGUUCAAGUCAGACUCGGAUAAGCACCAGGGCUCUGGGGUUCCCAACCGCUUUUCUGGAUCCAAAGACGCCUCAACCAACACAGGGCUCCUGCUCAUCUCCGAGGUGCAGCCUGAGGACGAGGCUGACUAUUACUGUGCUGUGUGGCAUGACGACACUAAUGCUCACACGGUGCUCCAGACCAGUGAGGAAGAGCAACAGAAACAUCGUCCACUCACCCCUGCUCAUGGCUCGGAUGAAGUCUAG